UGAGCAUGCUGAUGGGUCACGGAAAAAAUCAUCGACCACGAGGCAGCCACAUGGAAAAUCACGCCACAUGGACGGAAAGAAGCAACGAGACAAAUCCAAAGGCUUAACGGACCAGAGUGGACAACAAUGUAACCGGUGCGGAUUAAGUCAUAAAAAAGGAGAAUGCAAAGCAGCCAAUUCUACUUGUCGUGUGUGCGGGAAGAGAGGACAUUGGGCAUCUGUAUGCUGGAGCAGUGCAGGAACGAAGUAAACGACAAAGAGAAUUCGAGUAAAGUAAAGGGUAGUAUUAGACAGGAGAAAAAAGUAACUUUUGAAAACAUUAAACAAAAAUUUAAAGUUAACGAUAACAUUUUAUACAGAAUUACAAGUAAAGAUUUUGC
Long non-coding RNA from Phlebotomus papatasi, 380 nucleotides. RefSeq lists it as uncharacterized. The transcript is spliced from 3 exons. NCBI's taxonomy places the organism in Eukaryota, Metazoa, Arthropoda, Insecta, Diptera, Psychodidae. The record is from RefSeq and is a predicted model, not a curated record.